RNAcentral lists this ribosomal RNA (983 nucleotides) under uncultured bacterium. Its description in RNAcentral is "bacterial SSU rRNA". It matches the Rfam family "Bacterial small subunit ribosomal RNA", at positions 8 to 985 of the family's 1533-position model. The record is from RNAcentral.
AGAGAGUGAUUUUGGCUCAGGAUGAACGCUAGCGACAGGCCUAACACAUGCAAGUCGAGGGGUAACAGGGGCUUCGGCCCGCUGACGACCGGCGCACGGGUGAGUAACGCGUAUGCAACCUGCCCGUAACAGCGGGAUAGCUCCCUGAAAGGGGAAUUAACACCGCAUAAGACCACGCUCUCGCAUGGGGACGGGGUAAAAUAUUUAUAGGUUACAGAUGGGCAUGCGUGACAUUAGUUAGUUGGUGAGGUAACGGCUCACCAAGACUGCGAUGUCUAGGGGUUCUGAGAGGAAGGUCCCCCACACUGGAACUGAGACACGGUCCAGACUCCUACGGGAGGCAGCAGUGAGGAAUAUUGGUCAAUGGACGCAAGUCUGAACCAGCCAUGUCGCGUGCAGGAUGACUGCCCUAUGGGUUGUAAACUGCUUUUAUAUUGGAAGAAUUGCGCUUACGAGUUAAGCGUUUGACGGUACAUUAUGAAUAAGGAUCGGCUAACUCCGUGCCAGCAGCCGCGGUAAUACGGAGGAUCCGAGCGUUAUCCGGAUUUAUUGGGUUUAAAGGGUGCGUAGGCGGAAAUGUAAGUCAGUGGUGAAAUCCUGCAGCUUAACUGUAGAAUAGCCGUUGAAACUGUGUUUCUUGAGUACAUUUGAGGUAGGCGGAAUGUGGUGUGUAGCGGUGAAAUGCAUAGAUAUACCACAGAACACCGAUUGCGAAGGCAGCUUACUAAACUGUCACUGACGCUGAUGCACGAAAGCGUGGGUAUCAAACAGGAUUAGAUACCCUGGUAGUCCACCCUGUAAACGAUGAUUUACUGGGUUGUAUGCGAUACACAUCAAGUUGACUGAGCGAAAGCAUUAAGUAAUCCACCUGGGGAGUACGUCGGCAACGAUGAAACUCAAAGGAAUUGACGGGGGCCCGCACAAGCGGGAGGAACAUGUGGUUUCAAUCGAUGAUACGCGCAGGAACCUUACCCGGGCUCGAA